CCACUAAGUCUACAGAAGGGAGCCAGGAUAGUAGGAAAAAUGCAGGAAAUAACUCAACCGCUAUAAGUCACUACACUAUCAUGCUCUACACUAACCAACUGUAGGACAUGUCAAAUCUGACCCAAUCCAAUCGGGACUGUAAACAUACCCGUCCCUGAGACUGUGAAUACACCCGUCCCUGCCCCAUUGCGACUAUCGGGCUCUAUCCACACUAACUGGUCCGUUGAGAGCAAGUCCAACUGGCAUGAGCGACACCAACGCGAAAGCACAAAGCCCGUCUCCGGAGUGGCACUCGUGGGCGCUACCCAACCGAGUAUGCAGCGUAUCUCUGUCGAGCUCAAUCAGGCUCUCAAUAGCCAAAGUCAAGUAACCGACUCAAACUGGUCUAACAACCAACAGGUAACGUGCCCUCGGCACAAUCUGACGCCAAAAAGGCGAUAGGGGUCCACCGUCAACUCUGACGGCACCCAACAGUCCGGAACAACCUGAACGACCCUGUAAAAAUUCACUCGGCA
RNAcentral lists this long non-coding RNA (515 nucleotides) under Ananas comosus (pineapple). Its description in RNAcentral is "long non-coding RNA (ACOM_LNC043323)". Lineage: Eukaryota; Viridiplantae; Streptophyta; Magnoliopsida; Poales; Bromeliaceae. The record is from RNAcentral.